GACGAACGCUGGCGGCGUGCUUAACACAUGCAAGUCGAACGGAAAGGCCCUGCUUUUGUGGGGUGCUCGAGUGGCGAACGGGUGAGUAACACGUGAGUAACCUGCCCUUGACUUUGGGAUAACUUCAGGAAACUGGGGCUAAUACCGGAUAGGAGCUCCUGCUGCAUGGUGGGGGUUGGAAAGUUUCGGCGGUUGGGGAUGGACUCGCGGCUUAUCAGCUUGUUGGUGGGGUAGUGGCUUACCAAGGCUUUGACGGGUAGCCGGCCUGAGAGGGUGACCGGCCACAUUGGGACUGAGAUACGGCCCAGACUCCUACGGGAGGCAGCAGUGGGGAAUAUUGCACAAUGGGCGGAAGCCCGAUGCAGCAACGCCGCGUGCGGGAUGACGGCCUUCGGGUUGUAAACCGCUUUCGCCUGUGACGAAGCGUGAGUGACGGUAAUGGGUGAAGAAGCACCGGCUAACUACGUG
Molecule: ribosomal RNA, 468 nt
Filed under: uncultured bacterium
Lineage: Bacteria
Description: partial 16S ribosomal RNA
Rfam family: Bacterial small subunit ribosomal RNA
Source: RNAcentral